CACGGGGAUCAGCGGGGACGAAGUCUGACGGAGCACGCCGCGUGAGUGAUGAAGGCUUUCGGGUCGUAAAACUCUGUUGUUAGGGAAGAACAAGUACGAGAGUAACUGCUCGUACCUUGACGGUACCUAACCAGAAAGCCACGGCUAACUACGUGCCAGCAGCCGCGGUAAUACGUAGGUGGCAAGCGUUAUCCGGAAUUAUUGGGCGUAAAGCGCGCGCAGGCGGUUUCUUAAGUCUGAUGUGAAAGCCCACGGCUCAACCGUGGAGGGUCAUUGGAAACUGGGGAACUUGAGUGCAGAAGAGAAAAGCGGAAUUCCACGUGUAGCGGUGAAAUGCGUAGAGAUGUGGAGGAACACCAGUGGCGAAGGCGGCUUUUUGGUCUGUAACUGACGCUGAGGCGCGAAAGCGUGGGGAGCAAACAGGAUUAGAUACCCUGGUAGUCCACGCCGUAAACGAUGAGUGCUAAGUGUUAGAGGGUUUCCGCCCUUUAGUGCUGCAGCUAACGCAUUAAGCACUCCGCCUGGGGAGUACGGUCGCAAGACUGAAACUAAAAGAAAUUGACGG
This 565-nucleotide ribosomal RNA is filed under the name Bacillus sp. DX3. RNAcentral's name for it is "bacterial SSU rRNA". It matches the Rfam family "Bacterial small subunit ribosomal RNA", at positions 340 to 916 of the family's 1533-position model. Lineage: Bacteria; Bacillati; Bacillota; Bacilli; Caryophanales; Bacillaceae. The record is from RNAcentral.